RNAcentral lists this transfer RNA (72 nucleotides) under Mojavia pulchra JT2-VF2. It matches the Rfam family "tRNA". Rfam says of the family: Transfer RNA (tRNA) molecules are approximately 80 nucleotides in length. Their secondary structure includes four short double-helical elements and three loops (D, anti-codon, and T loops). The record is from Rfam by way of RNAcentral. Lineage: Bacteria; Bacillati; Cyanobacteriota; Cyanophyceae; Nostocales; Nostocaceae. RNAcentral also lists the same sequence under 1 other name.
GCGGGUGUAGUUCAGUGGUAGAACGCUACCUUCCCAAGGUCGAUGUCGUGGGUUCGAAUCCCAUCACCCGCU